GACGAACGCUGGCGGCGUGCUUAACACAUGCAAGUCGAACGGAAAGGACCGGCUUUUGUGGUGUGCUCGAGUGGCGAACGGGUGAGUAACACGUGAGUAACCUGCCCUUGACUUUGGGAUAACUUCAGGAAACUGGGGCUAAUGCCGGAUAGGAGCUCCUGCUGCAUGGUGGGGGUUGGAAAGUUUCGGCGGUUGGGUAUGGAUUCGCGGCUUAUCAGCUUGUUGGUGGGGUAGUGGCUGACCAAGGCUUUGACGGGUAGCCGGCCUGAGAGGGUGACCGGCCACAUUGGGACUGAGCUACGGCCCAGACUCCUACGGGAGGAAGCAGUGGGGAAUAUUGCACAAUGGGCGGAAGCCUGAUGCAGCAACGCAGCGUGCGGGAUGACGGCCUUCGGGUUGUAAACCGCUUUCGCCUGUGAUGAAGCGUGAGUGACGGUAAUGGGUAAAGAAGCACCGGCUAACUACGUG
Molecule: ribosomal RNA, 468 nt
Filed under: uncultured bacterium
Lineage: Bacteria
Description: partial 16S ribosomal RNA
Rfam family: Bacterial small subunit ribosomal RNA
Source: RNAcentral